GUACGGGAGGCAGCAGUGGGGAAUAUUGCGCAAUGGGGGCAACCCUGACGCAGCCAUGCCGCGUGUGUGAAGAAGGCCUUCGGGUUGUAAAGCACUUUAAGUGGGGAAGAAAAGUUGGUCGUUAAUAGCGGCCAGCCCUGACAUUACCCACAGAAUAAGCACCGGCUAACUCCGUGCCAGCAGCCGCGGUAAUACGGAGGGUGCGAGCGUUAAUCGGAAUUACUGGGCGUAAAGCGCGCGUAGGCGGUUUGUUAAGUCAGCUGUGAAAGCCCCGGGCUCAACCUGGGAACUGCAGUUGAUACUGGCCGACUAGAGUACGAGAGAGGGAGGUAGAAUUCCAUGUGUAGCGGUGAAAUGCGUAGAUAUAUGGAGGAAUACCAGUGGCGAAGGCGGCCUCCUGGCUCGAUACUGACGCUGAGGUGCGAAAGCGUGGGGAUCAAACAGGAUUAGAUACCCCGGUAGU
RNAcentral lists this ribosomal RNA (463 nucleotides) under uncultured bacterium. RNAcentral describes it as "bacterial SSU rRNA". It matches the Rfam family "Bacterial small subunit ribosomal RNA", at positions 339 to 794 of the family's 1533-position model. The record is from RNAcentral.